RNA transcript from Nymphaea colorata (pocket water lily), 1262 nucleotides. RefSeq lists it as uncharacterized. NCBI's taxonomy places the organism in Eukaryota, Viridiplantae, Streptophyta, Magnoliopsida, Nymphaeales, Nymphaeaceae. The transcript is spliced from 6 exons. The record is from RefSeq and is a predicted model, not a curated record.
UCUAAACCCAGAUUCAACGCACAAAACCCACCCCUUUCGCCUCCGCCUCCAAAAUUGAAGGGGAAAAACGCCAAAAACCCAGCCCGCAGCCGGCCGGCCGCUGAGUCGUCUUCCGUUCCUUACGAGCUUCUUUCAACGCAUCUGCACAGCAGCACAAGUAAAGCAAGGAGAGGAAGAGGGGGAGCUGGGAAACGAAUACCUUGUUCGGCGUGUUGGGUAGUGCAUCCUAAGCUAGAUUUAGCAACCAUACUUUUUGCUGUUAGGACUUAUCCACUGGUGGUGAUUGGAAAGGCAAGGCAACAUCAUUCACAAGGGAGAGGAGAAAACAACUUUUCCCUGUUGUCUUCUUUAUGUGCUGCUGUUUACAAUCAUUCACGAGGGAGGGGAGAAAACAACUUUUCCCUGUUGUCUUCUUUAUCUGCUGCUGUUUACAAGAAUUUUCGUGUUAUCUUAUUUAGAAGAAUCAAGAUUAUUUAAGAAAAAACAAGUUAUUGAUCAAGAGGGAGAAAAACCAAAUGGGAGAAAACCAAGCUGCUCGUUUUAGGGGAGGAGCAGAAAAGCAUGCAGCGGAUGUAGGUGACGUUAGGAUAAGAAUGCGACGUCCUGGGGGUGAUGGUGCGGGUACGUGUGGCACCGUCUAGCAGUCGUUCAACAAGUUGGACACGUUACAGUGCGGAUAGUGUGGGUACGGGUGGAAGUGUGGUACCGUCGAUGCCAUACAGUGCCGAUAGUGCAGGUACAGGUAGAAGCGCGGCACCGUCUAGCAGUCGUGCAAUAAGUUGGGCAGGUUACAGUGUGGAUAGUAUGGGUACGGGUGGGACUGCGGCACCGUCUAGCAGUCAUGCAACAAGUUGGAUGCGUUACAGUGCAGGUGAGGGUGGGAGUUCGGCACCAACUAGCAGUCGUGCGAUAAGUUGGACGCAUGCGAGUGCGGGUAUGAUACGCUGCAGUUGUCUUUUGUGCUGUCGUUACCAAAAAUAACAAUAAUAGAAAAGUAAUAAAAUAUGGUGGAAAGUCCCCACCACAAAGGCAAAGUCAUCCGUGCCUAUAUAAAUAAGCGCUUCGACCGGGCGACCCCAAUUGUCGUGUAUCUUUGGUGAGCAAGUGUGGAGUGGUGCAUGCUUGUGCUGGGGCAUUUUUAUGAAAAGCUCAUUCGGGUGACCUUCUUUAAUGACUGUUCUUCUUUUUUUUUCUUUUUUUUAAGUAGUUCGUUUGUUGUUGACAUGUUGUAAGCAUUUCUUUAAUCAAAAGUGGUUGAUCAA